GACGAACGCUGGCGGCGUGCUUAACACAUGCAAGUCGAACGGAAAGGCCCUGCUUUUGUUGGGUUCUCGAUUGGCGAACGGGUGAGUAACACGUGAGUAACCUGCCCUUGACUUUGGGAUAACUUCACGAAACUGGGGCUAAUACCGGAUAGGAUCUCCUGCUGCAUGGUGGGGGUUGGAAAGUUUCGGCGGUUGGGGAUGGUAUCGCGGCUUAUCAGCUUGUUUGUGGGGUAGUGGCUUACCAAGUCUUUGACGGGUAGCCGGCCUGAGCGGGUGACCGGGGACAUUGGGACGGAGAUACGGCCCAGACUCCUACGGGAGGCAGCAGUGGGGAAUAUUGCAGAAUGGGCGGAAGCCAGAUGCAGCAACGCCGCGUGCGGGAUGACGGCCUUCGGGUUGUAAACCGCUUUCGCCUGUGACGAAGAGUGAGUGACGGUAAUGGGUAAAGAAGCAACGGCUAACUACGUG
This 468-nucleotide ribosomal RNA is filed under the name uncultured bacterium. RNAcentral's name for it is "partial 16S ribosomal RNA". It matches the Rfam family "Bacterial small subunit ribosomal RNA", at positions 28 to 507 of the family's 1533-position model. The record is from RNAcentral.